CCUACGGGUGGCAGCAGUGAGGAAUAUUGGUCAAUGGGCGCGAGCCUGAACCAGCCAAGUCGCGUGAGGGAGGACGGCCCUACGGGUUGUAAACCUCUUUUGCCGGGGAGCAACGGGCGUCACGUGUGGCGCCACUGAGAGUACCCGGAGAAAAAGCAUCGGCUAACUCCGUGCCAGCAGCCGCGGUAAUACGGAGGAUGCGAGCGUUAUCCGGAUUUAUUGGGUUUAAAGGGUGCGUAGGCGGAUCGUUAAGUCAGUGGUCAAAUUGCGGGGCUCAACCCCGUACUGCCGUUGAAACUGCAUCCCUUGAGUGCGCGAGAAGUAUGCGGAAUGCGUGGUGUAGCGGUGAAAUGCAUAGAUAUCACGCAGAACUCCGAUUGCGAAGGCAGCAUACCGGCGCGCAACUGACGCUCAUGCACGAAAGCGUGGGUAUCGAACAGGAUUAGAUACCCGAGUAGUC
Molecule: ribosomal RNA, 460 nt
Filed under: uncultured bacterium
Lineage: Bacteria
Description: partial 16S ribosomal RNA
Rfam family: Bacterial small subunit ribosomal RNA
Source: RNAcentral